Molecule: ribosomal RNA, 269 nt
Filed under: uncultured Planctomycetales bacterium
Lineage: Bacteria; Pseudomonadati; Planctomycetota; Planctomycetia; Planctomycetales
Description: partial 16S ribosomal RNA
Rfam family: Bacterial small subunit ribosomal RNA
Source: RNAcentral
GAGCACGUAGGUGGGUUUGUAAGUCAGAUGUGAAAGCCUUCUGUUCAACGGAAGAAUUGCAUCUGAAACUGCGAGUCUUGAGUGUAGGAGGGGAGAAUGGAACUUCUGGUGGAGCGGUGAAAUGCGUAGAUAUCAGAAGGAACUCCGGCGGCGAAAGCGAUUCUCUGGCCUAUUGCUGACACUCAGUGUGCGAAAGCUAGGGGAGCAAACGGGAUUAGAUACCCCGGUAGUCCUAGCCGUAAACGAUGGGCACUAAGUAGAGGGGUUUU